Odocoileus virginianus texanus is the source of this 4018-nucleotide non-coding RNA. Lineage: Eukaryota; Metazoa; Chordata; Mammalia; Artiodactyla; Cervidae. The record is from RefSeq and is a predicted model, not a curated record.
UCAGCAUUCUUUAUAGUCCAACUCUCACAUCCAUACGCCUCUGUUAAUUGUUGUUGCUGCUGCUGCUGAGGUGAUUACGUUCUACUUUUCGUCACUGAGGAUACACCCAUCUUCACACACUAACACAAAAGGCUUUUGAAUUUUCCCCGUUUUUCAACUUGCUGAAAACAUCUCGGCUUCCCAUAGAGGCAGCUCUCAAAAUUCUUCUCUUUCCCUUAAGUUGUGUGAAACACUAACUUAGGACAGGCAGAAAGCAGCUCUGCUCCCGAGGAAGUCAAAGAGAUUUAAAGGCAUCAAAAGGCAGAGAAAGGAAGCACAGCUGGACAGAAAGACCAACAGACCCAAAACGGACUGGGGCGGGGGUGAGGGGAGGCAAGGCUCCGCCCCCUCUGGCCCCGCCCCUACGUACCUGAGCUUCCGGCCUCGUCCCACCCUCCCCCCUUACGUCGCCUCUCGUUGGCCACGGCUGUAGCGCUUUCACCUUCCUCUGUACCGGAUUUUCCGCCCGCGCGUGCGCAGUAUCCGGCAAGACGGAAUUGAGUUUGAAUGAGCGACAGAGAGUUAAGAAUCCCUGCUGUGCCAGUGGCCGUGGAGGAUUGUGGUUUGUACCUGUUGAGAUCCUCCCUCUGUGUGGGGCUGCGUUGCAGGGAGCUCGCUGUGGUUUUCGAAGUAUUGAACAGCCUAUUUUCAACACUCGGGUCGCUUCCCAAGACUGAUCUUACCUGAGAAGGAAGACCAGAGGAGAAGGAAAGCAGAGUCAGAAAUGACUCGUUCCCAGGCUAAUUCUCUGGAGCGUGGAAACCUGCCGAGCUCACUCUCUCACCCGGGCUUUCAAGACUUCCUCGAGAGGAUGCUCUGUGCCUUCGAGCCUGGAUGUUGCCUCUGAGCUAUCCCAAGAGUGCCUUCCUCGUUUCAGGGAAUCACGAAUCGGGACGGCUGACAUUCCAGGAUGUGGCCAUAGACUUCACUCAAGAGGAGUGGGAAUGCCUGGACCUCGGUCAGCGGGAAUUAUACAGGGACGUGUUGGUAGAGAACUACGCAAACCUGGCCUCCUUGGGGCUUGUGUCUAAGCUGGACCUGGUCACCUUUCUGGAACAAUUGAAGGAUCCCAGGAAUAUAAAGAGAGUGGAGACAACAACCAAUUACCCAGCUAUGACUCCACAGGACACCCAGGAUUUGAUGCCGAAGAAUCCAACGUUAGAAGAUGUAUUCCCAAAAGCAAGCCUAGGAAUAUGUCAAAUAUUUCACCUCAGAAACUUAAAUUUAAUGAAAGCCUGGGAAUAUACGAAAGUAUAUAAAAGACAGAGAGAAUGCAUAUACGGACAUAAAGAAAUGGAGACAGUCAUGCAGAAUGCUAACAUUACUGCAAAAAGAAAUGAGCAAUGUGAGUCAAAUUGGGAAAAACACCCACUUCAGUUUUCCACAUCUGCCGAGACGUGUACGUGUUUAAGAAAAGAUUUCCAUCCCUUUUUGAAACAUACAUGUUCUCUAAAAGGAAGUGUGGAAAAUCUGGAAGGUAAUCUAGUCUCUAGUGCAAAUCCUCAUUCAGACAAUUCUGAACCUAGGUUUCGACUAAACAUACAUUCAAGCAUGUCUGAACACCUGCAAUUUAACAGUGAGUGGGAAAACACACAAUCUAGUCAAUUUGAGGGACCUGUGAGCAGGGGCUCAUUUUUCUUCCCCCAACAAAUAUUUUCUCUCCAUUCCAAGAUAUAUAAUGUUGAUGAUAAUGGAAGAGAUGCAAUGCAACCAUCAUUGUUGAAUACAUAUUGUGAUAAGGUUAAUACACAACAACAUUGCAUGUGCAAUAAAAUGAGUCAGACCUUAAGUAAGAGCUCCAGCUCCAAUAAUUACAAGAGUAUUUUUGGUGGACUGAGAAGGUAUUCAGGCAAUGAACCUGGGUAUACGGUUGAAGGAAACUCCAGCCUUAAGAAUCAUCAGGGACCCGAAUCUUCAAACAAGGAUUCUAGAAGUAAUAAAUGUAGAAAUGCCUUUGAUGAAAUGUCAGGUUUUUCUCUCGAUAAGAGUACUUGUACUGAAGAGAGGACUUGUACUGAAUAUGGUAAGGUUUCUAGUCAGUCUUCAGAACUUAUUCAACAGCACACUGUUCAGAAUCCACAGAAAGAAAACAAGUGUAAGAUAUGUGGGAAAGUGUUUAGUAAGCCAUCCAAUCUAAAUAAACAUAGGAAAAUUCAUACAGGAAGGAAACCUUUCAAAUGUACAGAAUGUAGCAAAGCGUUUAAACGUCACUCAAUUCUUACUCAACAUCAUCGAAUUCAUACUGGAGAGAAACCUUAUAAAUGCACAGAAUGUAGCAAAGCCUUUACUUACAAUUCAAGUCUUAUUCAACAUCGGAGGAUUCAUACUGGAGAGAAACAUAAAUGUACAGAAUGUAGCAAAGCCUUUGUCUGUUACUCACAACAAAUGGAUCAUCAGCGAACUCAUACUGGAGAGAAGCCUUAUAAAUGUAAAGAAUGUAACAAAGCCUUUCAUAGUCGCUCACUUCUCACUCGACAUCAGCGAAUUCAUUCUGGGGAGAGACCUUAUAAAUGUAAAGAAUGUAACAAAGCCUUUUUUCAGUGCUCACAUCUUACUCAACAUCAGAAAAUUCAUACUGGAGAGAGACCUUAUAAAUGUAAAGAAUGUAACAAAGCCUUUAUUCAAUACUCAUCUCUAACCUACCAUCAGCGAAUUCAUACUGGAGAGAGACCUUAUAAAUGUAAAGAAUGUAACAAAGCCUUUAUCCGUUGCUCACAUCUUACCCAACAUCAGCAAAUUCAUACUGGAGAGAAAGCUUAUCGUUGUGCAGAGUGUGGCCAAACCUUUAUUUGUCAUUCAGAGUUAAUUGUACAUCAUCGAAUCCAUAAUGGGGAGAAACCAUACAAAUGUAAAGAAUGUGGCAAAGCCUUUAUUACGAAUUCGGCCCUUACUCAACAUCACCAAAUUCAUACCGCGGAUAGAUGUUAUAAAUGUAGAGAAUGUGGCAAGGCUUUUAUUAAGGGUUCUAGUCUUACUAAACAUCAGCGAAUCCAUACUGGGGAGAGACCAUAUUCGUGUACUGAAUGUGGCAAAGCCUUUGCUUACAACUCAACGCUUACUCAACAUCGGCGAAUUCAUACUGGCGAGAGACCUCAUAAAUGUAAAGAAUGUAACAAAGCCUUUCCUCGUCUCUCACUUCUUACUCAACAUCAGCGAGUGCAUACCGGAGAGAGACCUUAUAAAUGUACUGAAUGUGACAAAGCCUUUGGUCGCAACUCAACGCUUACUAAACAUCAGCGAAUUCAUACUGGAGAGAGACCUUAUAAAUGUACAGAAUGUGGCAAAGCUUUUAGUCAGAGUGGUCAUCUCGCUAAACAUCUCAGAAGACACUGGAGAGAAACCCUAGUAAUGGAACAUGUGAUGGAAUAGGUUUUCCCUAAACAUGCCUCAGAAAACACAAGAGUUUAUAUAAGAAACCUAUGGAGAUGAUGUAACAAAUAUGUCAAAAGGUAUUUAAUCAAAUGUUAAAUUGAAAUUAAUAUCAGGGAUUACAUACUAGAAGGCAUGUCAUCAAUCCUCUUUUCUGAAUUUUCUCUGCAGGAGAAUGACUGUAGGGAGUACUCCAUAGUUAAACACAUAGAAAAUGGAUAUAUUAGCAUGAAUCAUGAGAUGAACGUUGAUGGUUAGGACGUUCCAAUUCUUAGCAAAGUAUGUAUGCUUGUUUAUAAUGACAUGAACUGAGAUUAUUUGAAGUGAAUGUAACUCAGCACUCAAAUAAUCCAUACUAUGCCUUCUUUCUAGUGUGUUUGCAAACCUAGGUUUUUGGUGGUUUAUUAAAGAUUAGCCUUUUCAUAUUGUGUUGCAACCAUUUCUGUCUAUCCUCGAUUAGAAGAUGACAGGUACCAUGAUGUAGAAUGGACAGUGACCAUCUAAAUGGAGGUGUCUGUCAUUGAUGUGAAAUAUCUGGAAGUUGCCAUGAUGUCAGUGAUCUUUUAAUCUUUCCAUGUAUUAAAGUAAAACAGAAGUUGCUGGUAAAGUU